AGUAGGGUUGAGAUCCCUAUUCCUCACAAACAUCUUGUGGAUAGCACAACAAGUAUUCAUGAGUUCAAGAGUAGGUAACUCUUUACCAAUUGUACUUUUAUAAUUCUCAACAUCUUUCAUUCUAGCCUCUAGAUCACAAUAGUCUUGUAGAUAGCACAACAAACUAUAGUAUUCUAGUUAAGUUGACCUUUCAAUCCCAUAUAGUCAUACUUAAAUAAUACUGCCCUUGUGGAUAGCACAACAAAGCAACACUAUUCAAAUAUGCCAUAAGCAUCAAUAUGCACUUG
This 287-nucleotide long non-coding RNA is filed under the name Elaeis guineensis (African oil palm). RNAcentral's name for it is "long non-coding RNA (EGUI_LNC066485)". Lineage: Eukaryota; Viridiplantae; Streptophyta; Magnoliopsida; Arecales; Arecaceae. The record is from RNAcentral.